Molecule: long non-coding RNA, 504 nt
Organism: Stomoxys calcitrans (stable fly)
Lineage: Eukaryota; Metazoa; Arthropoda; Insecta; Diptera; Muscidae
Exons: 2
Source: RefSeq, a predicted model, not a curated record
GCCGCCAUUUCAAAUUUUACGACCGUUACAUUUCCAGCCUGAUAUCAAUAACUAACACAUUUUGUUUUUCUUAUUUAGCUACAUAAUAGGCAAUAGAUUUAUUAUAAACAAAAGCUAGAUUUCGUUUACAAAAUACAACCUCCAGCUCUGGACUCAAUGAAUGCGACCUACAAUAGCAGCUGGUCGCACUAGCUAUGUAGCAACUUGGUGUCACUGGCUGACCGGGUCGUACUGUACCGACCAGAGAAAAACACGUGCGUCGGCCAAAAUGGAGAGGGCGCACCUAAGUUAUCCCUGUGCCAAUUGAAAAACAUAGAUAUAAAAAAAAACUACAAAUCCUUAAAGGCUGGUACAAAUUCUAAUGACCAUGGUCAUGGUGUCUCAAAAAAAAAAGAUACCAUGCCUUACUCCGCGUUACACGUGAACAGUCAUUUACAUUGAAAUGAAGUUGGAAUAUUCAUAUUGCUACUUUAUUGUAAAAAUAUAUUACACAAUUUAAUGAAC